UUAUAUAAACCCCACCACCUGUACUGCUCCUAAUCGAACACUCAGCAUAAUCUUACUCUCUCCCAAUUAUGGGAGAUCCUAAUCCGAUGUCGUUUUCACUUCCUCCCGGUACCCGAUUUUACCCCUCCGACAAACAACUCAUUUGCUACUAUUUAUCCUCAAAAAACAGCGCCGAUCAUCGGAACGACUUUCAGUUUAACCUAAUUCGUGAAAUUGAUCUCUACAAUUUUGACCCGUUUAACUUACCCGAUUCCGCCUGUUUCAAAUAUGGACGCGGCAGCCUUAAAAGGCACUGGUUUUGUUUUGUGGCUAGGGUUUUAAAAGGAGGGCGGAGGAGAGCUGGGGGUGGGUACUGGAAGAAGAGAGGUAGAAUUAGGGAUGUGAUGGGUGAGGGUGCAGGGAAAGUUGUGGUCGGUACGCGAAAAAGUUUUGUUUUUUAUUUAGGCGAUUGUAUUAAGACUGCUGUGAAGACUGAUUUGUUGAUGUAUGAGUACGCUUUAACUGGAAAUCCUAUGCUUCUACUUGUGUGCAGGCAUCUUUUGUUCUAUGCCGAGUAUUUAUCAAAUCUCAUUAUCGAAAUAACUUGUCAGAGCAUGUAUUUAGUUCCUAUGGUGAAGAAACUUUGGCGGCAGUACGUCAUGUAGGUAUUCAAUGUGACGGAACUGCUGUAUCGGUUACUGAGUCUAAAAUGCAUGAUGAAAAUACCGUUGACCUGGAGAAUGAUAGUCAAGCUCUUAUAGAACCUGUUGCCAAGCAGCAGAUUGAUCUUGAGAGUGGCGGACCUCCAGUUCUCAAUGGUUUUUCUGCUCAGGAACUGACGGCGAUUUUAGAAGGAGAUUUUAUAGAGUUGGAUGACCUUCUAUGCCCGCUUUCCGGCAUUAACUAAAAGAAGAUAACAGCAACAAUCCCAAAAGUUCAACAGCAAUCCCAAGCAAGUACAACCAAUAACAAUCCAAGCAAGUAAAAUCGAUAAGAAUCCCAAGCAAGUAAAAUCGAUAAGAUCCCGAGCAACCUAUUUUUGGAAAUCAGUAUAGCAUCAAGUUUAAGCCGGAUUAUAUCACUAAAGGCGACAAUAAUGGUAUUCAGGUCACUUUUCAGAGCAAUAGAAAUUGAAAUUAUAAUAGGUCAAUGAAAGAGUGGUAGUUAUCAAAACUGUGAGGUCACCUCCUACAGAGGCAUCAUUUUUAAAAAUCAGCUCAAGAGAAUUGGAUGAGUAAUUGUUCACAUUAUUUUGUUGUCUGGAUGGAUAUCUUGACAGUUACCAAACUAUUAGGUCACUUCAACGGCAUGAUUUCUGAAAAUCAGCUCAAGAGAGUAGAUGGGUUGAGUAAUGAGGCUCACCUUUCAACUUUCAAGUAUACAAUUGCCUGGAAGGAUAUCUUGUUUAUGGGUGAAGAGUUAUGUUACCUAAUACUGUGUCAUGAACCAUGGAAAUUGGCUCAAUAGUAUUAUAUUGCAUGAAUAGUGGCUCACGUUACCUGGACAGACAUCUUAAACAGUUAUCAAAUUACGAGGUCAAUUCAUACAGUUUCAUGAUUGCUGAAGAUCAGCUCAAGAUAACAGAUGGAGUGAGUAAUAAGGUCAAUUUACAAUUAUACAAUUACCUGGACGGAUAUCUUGAGUAGUGGCUGAAAGAGUUAAGUCACUUUAUACAGUGUCAUGAUCCUGAAAAUCAGCUAAAGAGAAUUAGACUGGGUAAGUAAUGGCUAGCAUUAUAUUGUUACCUGAAUGGAUAUCUCAACAGUUAUCAAAUUAUGAGGUCACUUCAUACAGUGUCAGAGAUUGCUGAAAAUCAGCUCUGGAUAAUAGAUCACGUUAGCAAGGUUCACAUUUUACAAUUAUGCAACUACCUGGAUGGAUAUAUUGGAUAUGGUUGAGAGUUGAAUCAACUUAAUACAGUGUCAUGAUUGCUGCAGAUCAGCUGAAGAGAAUUAGACUGGGUGAGUAAUGGUUGUAUUAUGACCUGGAUGGAUAUCGUAACAGUUAUCAAGUUAUAAGGUCACUUCAUACAGUAUCAUGAUCUAAAUAUCUCAGAGGUAAUAGAUCGGCUGAGUAAAGCUUGGAUUACACUUAUACAAUAGGAUGGAUGUCUUGUUAUAUGGGUGAGAGUUGAAUUACUCAAAGAAAUGUCAUGAAUGCUGAGCAUCAGCUCAAGACACUAGAUGGGUAAGUAAUGGCUCACAUAUUACAACUACCUGGAUGGACAUCUUGUAUUUGGUGAAGAGUUAACAACACAAGUAAUGACAGCUAUAGCAAUGACAUGGAUGGCCAUCUCAUAUGUGGGGAAGGAUAUCUUGUGUAUGGUGUACACUUAAUUACGGGAGCACCAACAUGGAUGUAUAUCUUGUAUAUGGUAAAAAGUUAACAGCAGCAACAACAACAAGUAUCUCAUAAUACUAAGCAAGUUGGAUGGUGAAGAGUUAACAAAUAGCUCCAAAGUCCAUAGGAUGUGACAAUGUCGGUUGGUUAUGAGGUGACAAAAAUGUGAGGAGACCGGUGCUGGUGAGAGAGCAGGUACAAGCACGUACCUAGUGGAAUAGUCGAGGUGUGCACAAGCUGGCCCGUUUGUCAGGACCCAAGUUCUCUUGCUUUCAGACCGGCAAUUUUGGCUCCUUAGUAGACUCUGCUCUUGGUGUAGAUGUGGCAGCAUAGUUAAGGUUAUUGGUACGUUUGGCGAACUCGGCAGUGUAAGAUAAAAUCUCAACAUUGCCUUUUUUUUUUUUUUUGCUUCACAAGUCUUCCAAUUUCUAGCGAUCAUGCCUAGUAGUAAGUUGGGGAGAAUGUAAAACUUCAAAGUCCAGUUCCAGAUAAGUAUGUUUUUAACAAAUCCUAGUACAAGAUGGUAGCAUUAUGAGAAUCUGCUGAUUCUCUUUCAGAUUAAGUACUUUGGGUAUUUGUACGAUAUGUUCUCUAGGAUCUUUUCCUAUGCACUGACUGUAGUUUGUGAAGCUUGAAACUGUUGUUUUACUCUAUUCACAGUACGAGUGCCAGAGGAGCUAGUGGUAUACAAGUAUUACUGGCACUUGGACUGUCUUUUCUGUUAGGGAAACACUCAUGAAACUCAACAGUUAAGGUGCUUGGUUGCUACACUUGUACUCCUUAACGAGGGACUCUUGUCUUUCCCCCCGACUAUCCAAACUUAACCCCAACAUUCAAAGAAAUAGUUGGGCGUCGUGAAUCUUCUGUUUCUCUGGAAAAAGAAUGACUCCAGCAAAGUUUCAGCCAAGUUUUUGGGUUUUCGAUAAGAUGCAAUAGUUUUUGUCCUUGCAAGAUAUGAAGAAGAUAGCCUACGGUCUUCUUGCACUGCAGGAAUCCGGGCAGAGAAGGAUGGAAAAAAAUUCAGUCAGCAAAAACAAAACGUUUCUUAUAUCUUUUGAAAAAGGAAAAUAGACACUUUUCAAAUAGGAAAUGAAGAGAUGGUUUGGUUUGAGUAAAUCGUUAAUCAAUCUUCAUAUUUAGUUAUUAUGUCCCAUUCAUCUUAUUUUAAAUGGUCCUUUAAUCGGCA
Molecule: non-coding RNA, 3505 nt
Organism: Nicotiana tabacum (common tobacco)
Lineage: Eukaryota; Viridiplantae; Streptophyta; Magnoliopsida; Solanales; Solanaceae
Source: RefSeq, a predicted model, not a curated record